GAUGAACGCUGGCGGCGUGCCUAAUACAUGCAAGUCGAGCGAACAGACGAGGAGCUUGCUCCUCUGACGUUAGCGGCGGACGGGUGAGUAACACGUGGAUAACCUACCUAUAAGACUGGGAUAACUUCGGGAAACCGGAGCUAAUACCGGAUAAUAUAUUCAACCGCAUGGUUCAAUAGUGAAAGACGGUUUUGCUGUCACUUAUAGAUGGAUCCGCGCCGCAUUAGCUAGUUGGUAAGGUAACGGCUUACCAAGGCGACGAUGCGUAGCCGACCUGAGAGGGUGAUCGGCCACACUGGAACUGAGACACGGUCCAGACUCCUACGGGAGGCAGCAGUAGGGAAUCUUCCGCAAUGGGCGAAAGCCUGACGGAGCAACGCCGCGUGAGUGAUGAAGGUCUUCGGAUCGUAAAACUCUGUUAUUAGGGAAGAACAAAUGUGUAAGUAACUAUGCACGUCUUGACGGUACCUAAUCAGAAAGCCACGGCUAACUACGUG
This 497-nucleotide ribosomal RNA is filed under the name uncultured bacterium. Its description in RNAcentral is "partial 16S ribosomal RNA". It matches the Rfam family "Bacterial small subunit ribosomal RNA", at positions 28 to 507 of the family's 1533-position model. The record is from RNAcentral.